This 4815-nucleotide long non-coding RNA is filed under the name Vigna radiata. Its description in RNAcentral is "long non-coding RNA (VRAD_LNC002789)". Lineage: Eukaryota; Viridiplantae; Streptophyta; Magnoliopsida; Fabales; Fabaceae. The record is from RNAcentral.
UAUAGAAUGAAAUUGGGCGAAAACAAGAGGGCUUUCACAUUAAUGAACAAAAUUCACAAAACACAAUUAGACGAAACUCAUAGUUAAAACGUCGAAUUCCCUUCUUGCCACAACCAAAGAACCCUAAACACUGAUAUACAUAACUAAAUCGAAACAUAGUCUAAGCCUUUUUGGGAGACUUGCUCGCCUUGGAAGGAGAUUUUGGUUCCUUAGAAGCCUUCUCGGUCUUCUUAGGCAACAAAACAGGGUUUAUGUUAGGCAGCACACCACCGUGAGCAAUUGUGACUCCGGCAAGCAAUUUCCCCAAUUCAUCGUCGUUCCUCACAGCCAAAAGCACAUGUCUGGGAAUAAUCCUGUUCUUCUUGUUGUCCCGUGCGGCAUUUCCAGCCAAUUCAAGAACCUAAACAGUCGAAUCCACAACAAAAUACAGUCAAUUACCACAACACAAAAAAGAACCCCGGUUAGAAAUAAUUGAUUCAUGCAAAUGAUGCUAAGUUACCUCAGCGGCUAGGUAUUCCAGAACAGCAGCCAGAUAAACAGGAGCACCGGUUCCCACACGCUGAGCGUAUCUUCCUUUUUUCAAGUAACGGCCAAUUCUACCAACAGGGAAUUGGAGACCAGCCCUCACAGACCUUGUGACCGGCUUCUUUUUUGGCCCACCACCCUUUCUUCCUCCGGCACCCUUCUUAAUCUUUCCACCGCCGUCCAUGUCGAAACCCUAGAAAUUAGAUGCGCUUGAAAAAAAAAAGGAAGAGGGAGCAAGAAAUCAGAAAGGUUAGGAGUGUGCUGUUAAGAAGAUGCGUUGACACCGUGUUAUAGAUAUAGUUUUCCUCGCUCAAGUUCUCAUUAAAAGGAUACCGUUUUCGCGCACGUAUCCGCCGUUGGAUUGGAUUUAAUCUACGCUUAACGAUUCUCUAUGUGGCGAUCCGUGUUUUUCUACUUGACCAAUCAGGUUAUGUUUUGUCAGCGUCCAUUUCUUUUCUUUGUUAUUUAUAUAUGUCUAUUUCUUUUCUUUGUUAUUUAUAUAUGUCUAUUUCUUUUCUUUAUUAUUUAUAUGUGUCUAUUUCUUUUCUUUAUUAUUUAUAUAUGUCUAUUUCUUUUAUUUAUUAUUCAUAUGUAAGGAUUGGUAGACUUUUUUUAUAAUUUUAUCCUUUUAAGUAAUUAUUAUUUUUACUUUUACGUUUCAAAGAAAUAUUAAUUUAAAUUUAAUUAAUUUUAAAAUAAAAAUAUUAUUUUACUAUUUAAAUAUUUUAAAUUAAUAUUUAUUUAAAUUCAGUUGUUGUUUUUGAUUAAAUUAAUUAUUUGUAGUAAGAAAAUGUUACCAAUAUAUUCAUAGUAUAUGUGUACAAAACCUUUCUUUUGCGCAAGAAGGUGAAUGCCUUGUUCAAAAGUUUGAAAAAUCGGGAAGAUAGGUUUAAAGUUGCCAUGAAGGACGACUCAAAUCGCUCUAUUUUGCGUAACAGGUUGAGACAAAGUGUAAGGAUAUGACAAUGUUUAUGAAUGAAUUGGUUGUGAUAUCAUUUAUGGGUGGAGAUAUGUGGUUAUGAUUCGUUAGAUUUGCGUUUAAUGUUCUAUUUCUGUGUUAUAUGUUGUGAUGUUAUUUUUGUUCACCCUACCAUGUUUGUGGUUGUGGUUUCCACCUGCAAUGAUCGUACUUAUACAUAAGUGAAUAGUGUUGCACAUGAUACUGGAGUGCAGUAGUUUGACGAAAAGGAAAAUUAGUUUUUCUAAGAUUUUAUUGAUUUUGUUAUUUAAAUUUUCUUUUCAAAUUUGAUGUUUUGGUAAAGGUUAUUUUUUGUAUUUUUUUGCAUUUUGUAAGAACAAUGUUUAUGAUUUGUGAUUUUUGUUUCUAUAGUACUAUUAAAAUAAAGUAUAUUCUUUAUCUGAAUAGAUCGAUUUUAUAGUAAGCUAUGUAAGGAUAGUAUAAUUUUGUUUCAUACAUGACAUCCGAUUAGGGUACUACAAUGUUUUCCUAUUAUUCCCUUUAAAAAUGAAAUCAUAUGCGAAAAAUAAAUACAAAUACACUCUAUAUAAGCGGUUCUUUUUAUGUUAUGGAUGUAGUUUUCUUUUAAUUAUUUCUAAAACAAAAACUCCUAAAAAAUAUUUAAACAUAUGUAUUGAAAAUAGAUAAUACUUAAAUUAUAAACUAAUAACUAUAAUGUCAAUUUCUCUUGCUUGUAAUGUCUGUGUAAGAUUUUAACUUAAUUCUUAUAUUAUGUGAGUUUGAAAUAAUGAAUAUUUGGAUUACGAAUUUUAUUACAUUCGUCCUUAUUAAAAUUUUAUAAAUUUUCCUCAACUUCACAAAACUUUUUAGUCAAUGAAAUAUUUCAAUUGUUCAAGUUCUAUCUUAUCAAGUUUACGCAUCAUAAAACAUUUAAGUUCUUCGACCAUCUUCUCAUUUUUGUUACUAAAACCAAUAUCAUUAACAUACAAACACACAACCAACAUUUUACCUUUAUUUUUUACUUCAAUACCUUGAAAUCUUCUUAAUCAAAUAAAUAAUUAAUAAGACUAUACGUGAUUCAUGGUGUUUACUUCAAUCCAUAUAAAGCAUAUUGCUUAGCUUAUAAGCUGUCUAUUUGAUGCAAGUGGUUGAUUAGUAAAAAUAUAUUGAUUAAAUUAUCUAAGAAUAAGGUAGAGUUAAUAUUUAGUUUUAGCAAGUGAAAUCAUUAAACAUCUUUUUUUCAUGUGUGACAAACACAAAAAACUCAUAAUAAUUUAUAUUAAAAAAAUUUAUAUUUUUUUUUAAUGAGACUUGUUUCAUAUUAUUCUUCAUCAUCAUUUUUAUUUGUUUUUAAUUUAUAUAUCCAUUUCACAACAACCAUUUAUUAUCUUGUAACUCAAUUAAUUUUGUAACUAAUUUUUUAGAUUUGGUAUUGACCAUAAUGUUAGGUUUACACAAGAAACCAAACAAUUAAUUACAUAAUGCAUCGAAUAGUCCAACUUUCAUAGAAAUACUAUCUAUACUAAUUAACUUAGAGAAUGUAUGAUUACCAAUAAUUAGAUUAUAAUUAGAGCAUAGUUAAUACAAAGUUCAUUUCAAAAAUUAUAAAUAUAAGUUUUAAGUAAAAGAUAAGUGAUAGAAAGAUUUAGACCUUAAAACAUACAUAAGAGAACAAACAUCAACACCGUAACCAAAACAUGUUUGAUUUUAUAUUAAUUUUAACUAUUAACAUACUUUCGUAAAUUUUACUUUCAAAACCUUAAAUCUUAUAUGAAAGUUGGCUCAUUUGUCAUAAACAUGACAGUUUGUUGAAUAUUUUCCCUUAUAAAACCACGCAUUCAAGUUGGUUGUCUUCUCAUCUUGCAUUCUCAUGAAUGGGAGGCGUAGAGAUCUCUCUUGGAUGAUAACUGAGUUUCAGUUAACAGGUAAGCUGCAAGAAAUAAGAUCCUGAAUAGGUUAGAAGAACCUUAAUGGGUUGGAAAGCAGCAUCUUUUCACCACAAUACGUAUACAAAUGAUGAGUUUGGCAACAUGCGCCAUGAACUAUCGAGUGUGUUUUCUGAUGAUUACUUACAUGUCAUUAGGUGUUCGCUCGGUAAUUCCACUUGCCCAUUUUCGAUCUUUACUUCUUAAGGGCUUAAAGGAAAUAAAAUGCACGAAAACAUGCGUCACCCAUUAGACACAAUUCACAUAUAAUACAUCAAUUUGUAGCAGGUUGCAGAUCACGAGCAAUAAACAAAAUCUUUGUUCACAACCGACAGUAACCAACUCCACAGAUUUUUUUGCCAUCAUCAAGUCUCCUCGUAACAAGAAGCCUAUGAGUCAUUUCAGAAUACAUUUCAGAGCAAUGCAGUCAGUUCGUAUAUUCAUAGGAAUAAUUAAAAUCCUCAAACGACCAUUACUUGAAUUAAAUAAAAAACAGAGCCCACUAAAAAUCAGAUUAAACCACUAAUUGCGCAAGGAAAAUGGCAAACAACAUUCUAUAAUCUUUUAUGACUUCUCAACCCACUACGCUAGGAAUUAAUUUCAAUGUAUCGAAAAGGUAAAAAAAAUAGCAAAAAUAAAUAAACAGAUACGAUGGGAGAAAAUUGGGCGAAAACAAGAUGGUUUUCAUGUAAUGAACAAACUUCUUGGAGUACACAACUAGACCAAACUUCAGUGUUUCAAACAACAAAUUCCUUUCUUGAUACAACCAGAGAACCCUAAACACUGAUUUACAGAACUAGAUUAAAUUAUGGUUUAAGCCUUCUUGGGAGACUUAGUGGCUUUGGAUGGAGAUUUUGGUUCCUUGGAAGCCUUCUCAGUCUUCUUAGGCAACAAAACAGGGUUUAUGUUAGGCAGCACACCACCGUGAGCAAUUGUGACUCCAGCAAGCAAUUUCCCCAAUUCCUCGUCGUUCCUCACGGCCAAAAGCACAUGUCUGGGAAUAAUCCUAUUCUUCUUGUUGUCACGAGCAGCAUUUCCAGCCAAUUCAAGCACCUACACAAUCAAAUCCACACCAAAACACAAUUUAUUGCCACAUCACAAAUUUAACCACAGUUAACAGGAACUGAAUGAUGCAGUUAAUGCUAAGUUACCUCAGCAGCUAGGUAUUCAAGAACAGCAGCCAAAUAAACAGGAGCACCGGUUCCGACACGCUGAGCGUAUCUUCCCUUUUUCAAGUAACGCCCAAUUCUUCCAACGGGGAAUUGGAGACCAGCCCUGACGGACCUAGUGACCGGCUUCUUCUUUGGCCCACCGCCCUUUCUUCCUCCGGCACCCUUCUUGAUCUUUCCACCGGUGUCCAUGUCGGAACCCUACAAAUUAACUCCGCUUGAACAAUGAGAGGGGAGAGAGGAACGAGAAAGAUUAAGAGUGUUGUGAAGAAGAUGC